This 214-nucleotide unclassified non-coding RNA is filed under the name soil metagenome. RNAcentral describes it as "partial contains small subunit ribosomal RNA, internal transcribed spacer 1, and 5.8S ribosomal RNA". The record is from RNAcentral.
UCUCCGUUGGUGAACCAGCGGAGGGAUCAUUACCAGAGUGCCAUAGGCUCUCCAACCCACUGUGAACAUACCUAACGUUCCCUCGGCGGGCUCAGCGCGCGGUGGCCUCCGGGCCCCGGGCGUCCGCCGGGGACAACCAAACCCUGAUUUAAUCGUACUUCUGAGUGGCACAAGCAAAUAAUUAAAACUUUUAACAACGGAUCUCUUGGUUCUG